AUUGAACGCUGGCGGCAGGCCUAACACAUGCAAGUCGAACGGUAACAGGAAGCAGCUUGCUGCUUCGCUGACGAGUGGCGGACGGGUGAGUAAUGUCUGGGAAACUGCCUGAUGGAGGGGGAUAACUACUGGAAACGGUAGCUAAUACCGCAUAACGUCGCAAGACCAAAGAGGGGGACCUUCGGGCCUCUUGCCAUCGGAUGUGCCCAGAUGGGAUUAGCUAGUAGGUGGGGUAACGGCUCACCUAGGCGACGAUCCCUAGCUGGUCUGAGAGGAUGACCAGCCACACUGGAACUGAGACACGGUCCAGACUCCUACGGGAGGCAGCAGUGGGGAAUAUUGCACAAUGGGCGCAAGCCUGAUGCAGCCAUGCCGCGUGUAUGAAGAAGGCCUUCGGGUUGUAAAGUACUUUGCAGCGGGGAGGAAGGCGAUAAGGUUAAUAACCUUGUCGAUUGACGUUACCCGCAGAAGAAGCACCGGCUAACUCCC
Molecule: ribosomal RNA, 489 nt
Filed under: Enterobacter hormaechei
Lineage: Bacteria; Pseudomonadati; Pseudomonadota; Gammaproteobacteria; Enterobacterales; Enterobacteriaceae
Description: bacterial SSU rRNA
Rfam family: Bacterial small subunit ribosomal RNA
Source: RNAcentral